CAGUAGCGUAUAUUAAAGUUGUUGCAGUUAAAAAGCUCGUAGUUGGAUUUCUGGUUUGGCGAACCUGACCCGCUUCUAUUUGAAGUGUGUGUCGGCCGUUGCCUACCAUCCUUCCAGAGAACUUAGCCUCCCCUUCAUUGGGAUGGGCUAGCGAUCUGGAACUUUUACUUUGAAAAAUUAGAGUGUUCAAAGCAGGCUUUGCGCUAUGAAUACAUUAGCAUGGAAUAAUAAUUUAGGACUACGGUUCUAUUUUGUUGGUUUCUAGAACUGAAGUAAUGAUUGAUAGGGAUAGUUGGGGGUGGCUAGUAUUCAGCGGCCAGAGGUGAAAUUCUUGGAUUCGCUGAAGACUAACUUAUGCGAAAGCAUUCACCAAGGAUGUCUUCUUUAAUCAAGAACGAAAGUUGGGGGAUCGAAGACGAUCAGAUACCAU
Molecule: ribosomal RNA, 430 nt
Filed under: uncultured eukaryote
Lineage: Eukaryota
Description: SSU rRNA
Rfam family: Eukaryotic small subunit ribosomal RNA
Source: RNAcentral